GGUUAAUUUGAUUACAAGGUAUUGAAUAAGGUUUUAAUUGAAUGCUAAAAGAAUGGAAUAUCAAAGAAUAACUUUCUUAAAAUUAAAAAUUGAAAUUUUUUUAAUUUGUGUAAAAACAAUUAUAUAAAUUAAAGACAAGAAGACCCUAAGAAUUUUUAAAAUUUAAAUUAACACAUUUUUGUUUUAAUUAAAUUUUAACUGGGGCGGUUAAAAAAUAUUAAAAACUUUUUAAUUUUGAAAAUGACCCAUUAUUAAUGAAAAUAUGAUAAAAUACUCUAGGGAUAACAGCGUUAUAUUUUUUGAUAGAUCAUAUUGACAAAAAAGUUUGCGACCUCGAUGUUGGAUUAGGAUACUUUUUUAAUGAAGAUAUUAAAAUAAGAAGUUUGUUCAACUUUUAAAUUCCUACAUGAUCUAGUUUUUAAACCGA
This 427-nucleotide ribosomal RNA is filed under the name Rhipicephalus decoloratus. Its description in RNAcentral is "partial 16S ribosomal RNA". The stretch from base 281 to 427 matches the Rfam family "Archaeal large subunit ribosomal RNA", at positions 2542 to 2688 of the family's 2987-position model. The record is from RNAcentral. Lineage: Eukaryota; Metazoa; Arthropoda; Arachnida; Ixodida; Ixodidae.